Molecule: ribosomal RNA, 506 nt
Filed under: uncultured bacterium
Lineage: Bacteria
Description: partial 16S ribosomal RNA
Rfam family: Bacterial small subunit ribosomal RNA
Source: RNAcentral
AGUGAACGCUGGCGGUAGGCCUAACACAUGCAAGUCGAACGGCAGCACAGGAGAGCUUGCUCUCUGGGUGGCGAGUGGCGGACGGGUGAGGAAUACAUCGGAAUCUACUUUUUCGUGGGGGAUAACGUAGGGAAACUUACGCUAAUACCGCAUACGACCUACAGGUGAAAGCAGGGGAUCUUCGGACCUUGCGCGAUUGAAUGAGCCGAUGUCGGAUUAGCUAGUUGGGGGGGUAAAGGCCCACCAAGGCGACGAUCCGUAGCUGGUCUGAGCGGAUGAUCAGCCACACUGGAACUGAGACACGGUCCAGACUCCUACGGGAGGCAGCAGUGGGGAAUAUUGGACAAUGGGCGCAAGCCUGAUCCAGCCAUACCGCGUGGGUGAAGAAGGCCUUCGGGUUGUAAAGCCCUUUUGUUGGGAAAGAAAUCCUGCUGGUUAAUACCCGGUUGGGAUGACGGUACCCAAAGAAUAAGCACCGGCUAACUUCGUGCCAGCCGCCGCGGUAA